AUACGAAGGGGGCAAGCGUUGUUCGGAAUAACUGGGCGUAAAGCGCACGUAGGCGGAAUGUUAAGUUAGAGGUGAAAUCCCAGGGCUCAACCCUGGAACUGCCUUUAAUACUGGCAAUCUAGAGACCGAGAGAGGUGAGUGGAAUUCCGAGUGUAGAGGUGAAAUUCGUAGAUAUUCGGAGGAACACCAGUGGCGAAGGCGGCUCACUGGCUCGAUACUGACGCUGAGGUGCGAAAGCGUGGGGAGCAAACAGGAUUAGAAACCCGUGUAGUCC
RNAcentral lists this ribosomal RNA (274 nucleotides) under uncultured bacterium. RNAcentral describes it as "partial 16S ribosomal RNA". It matches the Rfam family "Bacterial small subunit ribosomal RNA", at positions 523 to 796 of the family's 1533-position model. The record is from RNAcentral.